UCGAAAUCGGUAGACGCUACGGANNNAAAAUCCGUUGGCUUUUUAGACCGUGAGGGUUCAAGUCCCUCUACCCCCA
Molecule: transfer RNA, 76 nt
Filed under: Lophoziopsis pellucida
Lineage: Eukaryota; Viridiplantae; Streptophyta; Jungermanniopsida; Jungermanniales; Lophoziaceae
Description: partial tRNA-Leu
Source: RNAcentral